Unclassified non-coding RNA from Pongo abelii (Sumatran orangutan), 148 nucleotides. It matches the Rfam family "Metazoan signal recognition particle RNA". From Rfam's summary of the family: The signal recognition particle (SRP) is a universally conserved ribonucleoprotein. It is involved in the co-translational targeting of proteins to membranes. The eukaryotic SRP consists of a 300-nucleotide 7S RNA and six proteins: SRPs 72, 68, 54, 19, 14, and 9. NCBI's taxonomy places the organism in Eukaryota, Metazoa, Chordata, Mammalia, Primates, Hominidae. The record is from Ensembl.
GCCGGGCGUGGUGGCGGGCGCCUGUAAUCCCAGCUACUCGGGAGGCUGAGGCAGAAGAAUCGCUUGAACCCGGGGGGCGUAGCUUGCAGUGAGCCAAGAUAGUGCCACUGCACUCCAGCCUGGGUGAAAGAGCGAGACUCUGUCUCAA